UACGUAGGGUGCGAGCGUUAAUCGGAAUUACUGGGCGUAAAGCGUGCGCAGGCGGUUUUGUAAGCCAGAUGUGAAAUCCCCGGGCUUAACCUGGGAAUGGCAUUUGGGACUGCAAGGCUCGAGUGCGGCAGAGGAGACUGGAAUUCCUGGUGUAGCAGUGAAAUGCGCAGAUAUCAGGAGGAACACCGAUGGCGAAGGCAGGUCUCUGGGCCAUAACUGACGCUGAGAAGCGAAAGCAUGGGGAGCGAACAGG
This 253-nucleotide ribosomal RNA is filed under the name uncultured bacterium. RNAcentral's name for it is "partial 16S ribosomal RNA". It matches the Rfam family "Bacterial small subunit ribosomal RNA", at positions 524 to 776 of the family's 1533-position model. The record is from RNAcentral.